Molecule: long non-coding RNA, 2373 nt
Organism: Hypanus sabinus (Atlantic stingray)
Lineage: Eukaryota; Metazoa; Chordata; Chondrichthyes; Myliobatiformes; Dasyatidae
Exons: 3
Source: RefSeq, a predicted model, not a curated record
CCCAUCACACACCCCUGGGGUCAGACACAGAGUUAAUCUCCACACCGUCCCAUCACACACCCCUGGGGUCAGACACAGAGUUAAUCUCCACACCGUCCCAUCACACACCCCUGGGGUCAGACACAGAGUUAAUCUCCACACCGUCCCAUCACACACCCCUGGGGUCAGACACAGAGUUAAUCUCCCUCCACACUGUCCCAUCACACACUCCCGGGGUCAGACACAGAGUGAAGCUCCCUCCACACCGUCCCAUCACACACUCCCGGGGUCAGACACAGAGUGAAACUCCCUCCACACCGUCCCAUCACACACUCCUGGGGUCAGACACAGAGUGAAUCUCCCUCCACACCGUCCCAUCACACACUCCCGGGGUCAGACACAGAGUGAAUCUCCCUCCACACCGUCCCAUCACACACUCCCAGGGUCAGACACAGAGUGAAGCUCCCUCCACACCGUCCCAUCACACACUCCCAGGGUCAGACACACAGUGAAUCUCCCUCCACACCGACCCAUCACACACUCCCGGGGUCAGACACAGAGUGAAGCUCCCUCCACAUCGUCCCAUCACACACUCCCGGGGUCAGACACAGAGUGAAGCUCCCUCCACACCGUCCCAUCGCACACUCCCGGGGUCAGACACAGAGUGAAGCUCCCUUUAUUGCCCCAUGGCCCCGUGCUGCAGCAUUUGAUUGUAAUUAUUAUUAUUAUUUUUUUAAAACAUGGCCAAGACAUUAGUCCAAUGCUCAAUCGUACGAGGAGCCGGCUGGAUUCGAACCCACGACCAUUGGCCUUUAAGUCCGGUGCUGAUGCCACUACACCACCAGCCAGCAGCAGGAGACCGCACAUUCACCUGUGCAAGAUCGCCUCUCAAUCUCCCUCCCCCCAUCAUUCAGGAAUUAAGAACUUGAGGGCACAGGCUUAAGGUGAGGUGGUUUACUCAGAACCCGAGCGUCGUUUUCACAGAGAGGGAGAGAGGGAUGUGGAGUGGGCGGAUAGAGAAAGUGGCGGAGGCGGAUUUGAUUACAACAUUGAAAAGACACGGACCCGGAGCAAACAAGGGGCUCGUGGAUGAAAGGAGGUCUGUGAUUCGUGGAGCUCUGCAGGGAUACAAGCCGGGACCUCGACUGUCUGCGAUGGAUACAAAUGACCUGGAUGGAAAUGUCGAUGAGUGGGCUGGGCGCUCACGGUCCCAGGGCGACCUCCGAUGCAGAACAGCGGCACCGAGAAACGGGUUGAAGCGCACCCAACCCAAAACGCCGAAGGGAGCCAGCAAAUCGCAGAGGAAUAAAUAGUCGACAUUUCGGUCCCCCCAGCGGCGUGGCAGGUGGAGCUGUCCCCCUCAGAGUGCCGGAGAUUGGGGUUCAACCCCCACCUCUGGUGCCCCCCUGUGCCACUCUCCCCCUGACAGUGUCUCUGAUUUAAUUGCCCCUCAACAGCUUGAGGGAGGGGUGAAAUUGGGGGUGGGAAUUGAUGGGGAUGGGAGGGAUGAAAUGAGUUUGGUGGAAGAGGUUGCCGUGACUGUCAGAAUUAAACCAUUUGCCCGAUCAAUCCUGGCUGAUUUAUUAUCCCUCCCAACCCCAUUCUUCUGCCUUUGCCCCAUAACCCCCAACACCCUGACUAAUCAAGACUAUCAACCUCCGCUUUAAAUAUACCAGCGACUUGGCAUCCACUCUGCCUGUAGUAAUUUAUUCACCUUCCAGCUAAAGAAAUUCCUCCUCAUUUCUGAUCUAAGGAAACGUCCUUGUAUUCUGAGACUGUGCCCCCGGUCCUCGAGGAAACCACCUCUCCAUUUCCGUGCUACCUAUCUCAACAGGCCUUACGAUUUGCAUUUGCUGCAUUGCAUUCCCCACAGAUUCUCCACCCCUCAAUAAAGACAUUGAUGGCUGACACGAACAUGAAGUGUUCUGUUUCCUUCCUUACAUCCCUACGCAAGGGUGGAUAUAAUGAGAUUUUCUGCAACAAAAAGAAGUGGACGAGGGCAGGGUUAGACUCGACAGGCCAGAGGGCCCAGCUCUGCAUUGCACAACCCAUCAUGUAUUUCUCAAAGAGAGCAGAACAUUUGCAAAACUAUUUCUCCCUCUGACGACCUGCCCAGGAACUGAUUCCGUUAAGAGCUGAGUCACUCAGCACAGAUAACACCCAUCCAGUGUGUCCCAACCCUCUCCCGUCCGCAGCCCUCCCACUGGCGUUACCAAGCAGUCCGGGGUUACCAAGGGAAAUCCAGAGCUCGGGACCCAGAUUCCCAAUCUCGCCCCCCCCCCCCCAGGAAAUGGGAAGACCCUCACCCUACAUAUCUCAGCUCAGCCUCCAGAUCCAAUGGGAGUGAAUGGGAAGGGGUGGGGACCCAUUGGGAGUGUGGACGGUGGGAGUGAA